CUAUGUUAAACAAUCAUAAAGUGAUUCAUGCAGGAAACACCCUAUCUGAGUUCGGUCAACAAGACUAUGCGUUUAAGCAAUUUCUGAAGUUAAAUUGAGUUUUUAACUCCAAAAUUGCAUCGCAUAUGUGAAAACGGGAUAAAUAAAUCGAAUUUUUUCUUUAACAAUUUAAUCAAUAAAUAAUAAACAAAUAAUAAUAAUAAUAAUUUGCAAUAAUAGUAAUAAUCAAU
RNAcentral lists this long non-coding RNA (230 nucleotides) under Lathyrus oleraceus (garden pea). RNAcentral's name for it is "Pisum sativum (pea) long non-coding RNA (PSAT_LNC002725)". Lineage: Eukaryota; Viridiplantae; Streptophyta; Magnoliopsida; Fabales; Fabaceae. The record is from RNAcentral.